CACAGAGUUAGCCGAUGCUUAUUCCCCGGAUACCGUCAUUGCUUCUUCUCCGGGAAAAGAAGUUCAUGACCCGUAGGCCUUCUACCUUCACACGGCGUUGCUCCAUCAGACUUGCGUCCAUUGUGGAAGAUUCCCUACUGCUGCCUCCCGUAGGAGUUUGGGCCGUGUCUCAGUCCCAAUGUGGCCGAUCAGUCUCUCAACUCGGCUAUGCAUCGUCGCCUUGGUAAGCCGUUACCUUACCAACUAGCUAAUGCACCGCGGGGCCAUCCCUUAGCGACAGCUUACGCCGCCUUUCAAAAGCUGAUCAUGCGAUCUGCUUUAUUAUCCGGUAUUAGCACCUGUUUCCAAAUGGUAUCCCAGACUUAGGGGCAGGUUCCCCACGUGUUACUCACCCAUCCGCCGCUCGCUUUCCCAACGUCAUUACCGAAGUAAAUCUGUUGGUUCCGCUCGCUCGACUUGCAUGUAUUAGGCACGCCGCCAGCGUUCGUCCUCGAGCCAGGAUACC
RNAcentral lists this ribosomal RNA (505 nucleotides) under uncultured Lactobacillaceae bacterium. Its description in RNAcentral is "partial 16S ribosomal RNA". Lineage: Bacteria; Bacillati; Bacillota; Bacilli; Lactobacillales; Lactobacillaceae. The record is from RNAcentral.